Molecule: long non-coding RNA, 3243 nt
Organism: Oncorhynchus tshawytscha (Chinook salmon)
Lineage: Eukaryota; Metazoa; Chordata; Actinopteri; Salmoniformes; Salmonidae
Source: Ensembl
GGAACAGGAAGCUCAAGCAGUGGAACAUUUGAGUUGCUGGUACUUAGCGCCGGUGAACUCUGACCCUAAACAUAAUCUUUAUUUAUUAUAUACAUUAUACGUACAUACAUUAUACAUACAUGGAACGUUUACACAUAGUAUUAUAUAAUUGGAAUACAGUUUGAUAUACACAUCUGCAAGUUCAAAUCCCCGAGCUACCAAGAUACAGAUCUGUCGUUCUGACCCUGAACAGGUAGUUAACCCACUGUUCCUAGGCCGUCAUUGAAAAUAAGAAUUUGUUCUUAACUCACUUGCCUAGUUAAAUAAAUUACACAUAAAAUGGUACUCAUCAUUAUUCUUGCAAUAAGUCCCGUGGGAUCUUUAGUGACCACAGAGUAAGGACACCUGUUUAAAGUCCCAUCUUCUUCCAUUUGAUUGAGGAACAUGCUAGCAGCAGAUACCCAUAGACUUCCAGUCAUUGCGCUAAUGCUAGUUAGCAUUGGCUUGCGAAACUACUAACUUCCUUCAUACUGGACACAGAAACAUUAAAAUUGUAUCCCACGAGUUCAUCAGCCUCUUGGGUAAUAGAUAAAGGACAUCAUUGCCAAAAGGUUAUGGUCUGUGGUUUGUCUGUUUCCCCGGGUGGCAUUCGUAUACGUUUUCGUGCCCACAACUUGAAACGGAACACCAUUGAAUCGGGAGCCUUCUACUCUCUCAGCUGAGUUGUUUUCCUGAGACAGAGAUAUUAGAAUGGUAUCCCACGACUUCCUCAGCCUCUUGGGUAAUAGAUAAAGGACAUCUGAGCCUACUAGCUGAGUUUUUUUUCUCCUGAGCCUACUAGCUGAGUUGUUGUUUUUUUCCUGAGCCUACUAGCUGAGUUUUUUUUUUUCCUGAGCCUACUAGCUGAGUUUUUUUUUUUUUUUCCUGAGCCUCUAGCUGAGUUGUUUUUUUUUUCCUGAGCCUACUAGCUGAGUUUUUUUUUUUUCCUGAGCCUACUAGCUGAGUUUUUUUUUUUCCUGAGCCUACUAGCUGAGUUGUUUUUUUUUUUUCCUGAGCCUACUAGCUGAGUUGGUUUUUUUUUUCCUGAGCCUACUAGCUGAGUUUUUUUUUUUCUUCCUGAGCCUACUAGCUGUUUUUUUUCUUCCUGAGCCUACUAGCUGAGUUUUUUUUUUUCUGAGCCUACUAGCUGAGGUUUUUUUUUCCUGAGCCUACUAGCUGAGUUGUUUUUUUUUUCCUGAGCCUACUAGCUGAGUUGUUUUUUUUCCUGAGCCUACUAGCUGAGUUGUUUUUUUUCCUGAGCCUACUAGCUGAGUUGUUUUCCUGCCGAAGGCUGUGCAUUUGUUGAAGGUCAAAAAUGUGUUAUUACUAUUUAACAAUGUUGCUCUGUCAAAUAGAAUAACACUCCCUUUUUGGACUCUCGACUGAAUUUUGGAUUUCCAACAAAAAUCUCUCGACCCCAAAAAACAAUGUUUACAUGUUUUAUUUGGCGCUGUGGCAGUCAAUUGAAAAACAUUCUAACAGUAUUUCUGAUUGUCUUCUCGAGAUUCCGAGGUGGAUGACCGUUCAAAUCGGGUUUUUUUCCUCAGUCGGAGCUCGCUUAUGUUUCAGUUCCCAGUUGUCUUGAAUGCGCUGAAGUCGGAAGGCAGAGAUUUCCCGAGUUCCCAAAUGUUUUGAAUGCGGCAUUAAUGUUCAGUGUGCCAUGGUAUUUUCCCUUUUGAGUCAUCAACCUAAACUCCUCAGUAGUGACCCGUGAAUUAAUUUGGUCACAUGACAGCUCAAUCAGCUGUUCGAUUUCACUUACCAGCAUGUCAACUGAGCCAGAAUCACAGUCAAACGGUUUAGGAAGUCGGUUCCCAAAGUUCUCUUCCAAGUGUAUGAGGUGAGUAGUCAUCACUCGUGCGGGACACUUACUGAUGCUCUUUUCUGUUUAGAGACAUGCACAGCCGAGAAGGUAGGAAGGGGUCUCUUUUGAAAGUCCAGUAAGAACUGGAACCCCCCCCCCGAUAACCACCAAGCCUUGGUGUGAAAUAGAACAGGGUCAUCCCCUGAUCCCAUUUCUCCACAUAGUUUUGCGAUAAGUCUGCGCGCGCAGUGGAUGUGGUUUGAGUCGCUACCUGCUGCAUGGUGUCUCCCGCGUUCUCAGAGCUCAGCACUUUUGCUGCCAGAUGCUCAAGAUACGCGACAUGGGAUCUUUUUGUGUCAAUAAAAUGAAUUAGCUUAUGCGAGAUAUAUCUCGGUGGAAACGCUUGUAUGCGCAAAUAUUGAUAUAAUAACAAUAAUUUCGAAGUACAUUUUGGAGUGACGCGAUGACAUGUUGUGUGGUUCUCCCCACUACGACUGAUCAGGAAAGCGUGCAGUUUCUUAGACUACAGAUUAAAUACAUUAAGGUGAUAAACUCGAUGCUCCUUUCCAAUAAAUAUCGAAGGUGUUAUUCUGGUGACAGGAUAAUCGAUGCUUGGCUGCCGAUUGUCCAUAAUAAUAAUGUAAUCGUAUAGGUUAUUUGUGCACAACGAGACAACAGUGCGCAGAUAGCCCUGUUGCCUCGAGCGCGCACGUGCCAAUACCAGAGUGACCACGCUCGCUAUGUAACGCAAACGCGUUUUGUGAGAGAACCAUCAGAAAGAGUUGAAAAAUGACAUGGAAAACACAUUUAACUUGUUGUUUUUUAAAAUUCGCUACAUGGGAAUUUAACCGCAAAAGGUUAUUUCUCUGAGCACUACGUAUGCGUCAUCACACUCCCUCUCGCCUGAUUGGUCGAGUAGGCGGGCCUUCUGACUUUGUGGCUGUGAUAACUAGUGAGACCCGCUCAUCUUCGUUGGAUAACAGAUGGUAUGAAAGGUGAGGACUCGUUUCCCCUCUGACCUAUCCCUAUUACCCUUCCCAUUGGACUGGCCCUCUAUUAUCUCAUUGAGAGCUCUCUGCACCAAUCAGAAGAGACUACUUGUUAAGAGCGGCGAGGGGCCAAAAACGGGAAAACGCAUGAGCACCGUCCGUUCUGCGGCUGUUUGGAAAACUGAAAGCUGGUACGUUUAUAGAAGGGAGAUCGACGGAGGGAGGCAAACAUUAAAAAGACAAAGCAGGUGUAGAGAGGUCGUUGGGAGGACAGAGAAAGGGGAGAGAACAGACUCAAAGAAAGCUAAUUAGCAUUUAUCUAUUUGUAAUACUGAGAAAAAAGGGUAAUUUAGAUGUAACAAUAUAUUACACUGAGUUCACCAUCCUGCAGAGAAAUGUGUGUAUUGGCCCUUGUGGUUCGAGUGUCGGGGG